Molecule: long non-coding RNA, 756 nt
Filed under: Cucumis sativus (cucumber)
Lineage: Eukaryota; Viridiplantae; Streptophyta; Magnoliopsida; Cucurbitales; Cucurbitaceae
Description: long non-coding RNA (CSAT_LNC000753)
Source: RNAcentral
UCCUCUGUUUCUGCCCCCCUGAGACUGCUAUCAUCCAUACUGCUUUGCACCCUUGAGGAUGAAAGCAUGGGUAAGCUUGAUUGUGAUGCAUGAUGCAGGGGUUGAUACUGUUCGAGUAAACCGGAUGCCAAGUAAGAUUCCAAUUUCUUUUUCACAGAACUAUUCCAGUGGUUCUUUAUAGCAUUGUCUGUCCUGUUGACAAUCAAAUAUACAUCACUCUAUGGGUAUCUUAGCAGUGCUGAAGAUAAAUUCAAAAUAAUGAAGCUCUGUAAUGCACUAAAGUAAGUCACUACCUCAAUGAACACGAAGAAUCACACCGAGAAUUACAAGCAAUAUGUGAGUAUUAUCCCAUAACAAAGAAGUGCUUGGGGAAAGAAAUAUACUGAAAAUUUGAGCAUCUGCUUACCUGCCAGGCAAGAACUUCGUUAGCUCUGCCCAUCUAUUUCCAUAUAUUUGGUGAGCACGAAUAAGUGCCAACUCUUCUUCCUGUGUCCAUGCCUCCUUGUUUAUGGCAGGAUUUAAAUGAUUGUGCCACCUGAUUAAUUGAAAAGUUAAAAAGUUAAGUUAAUUGACAAAAUCGAGCAAUAAACGCUCCCACAACUCAAUAAAUUAUUGUAUAUGUAAAACAAGGCCUUUAGACUUUUGUAUUGACACAUUUCAACACAGAUAACCUCAGGAAGUCGAAUACUAAAGACGCCAUCUCAAGAAACUUCAAAUCAUACCUUUCCCUACAUUGCUUACCAAUGCGUCCAGGUA